AUGUUUUGGGAGGAGGAUGCCACCUUAAUCCUUCAGCUACCAUUAUGGGACAGGACCGAGGAUUUCCUUGCCUGGCACUUUGACAGCAAAGGCAUGUUUCCUAUUAAACAAGCCUACAAACUACAAUGAGUUUUCUCCGAGCAACUUGCUGAGGGCCAGGGAGGCGAACCACAGGCAGUUGGCGAUCUGAAUGGUGGUGGCGAUGUGAGAUGGAAAAGAAUAUGGGAGCUACCUUGCCCGGGGAAGAUCAGACACUUUGUCUGGCGAAUGGCACAUAAUACAAUUGCCACCAAGGACAUUAUGGGAAGGAGAGGAAUGGAUAUAGAGGAGCACAAGUGCUUUUUGUGCAACUCAAGGCACGAGUCAGGAAAACACCUGUUUGUUGAGUGCAAUGAGGUCAAACCGGUGUGGAGGAGACUGGAUCUCGAACAUGUCAGACAAUAACUCUCAGCAUGAGCUUCCAUUGGUGAGACCCUGGACUUAGUGUGGAAAUUGUCGGAGAAGGACAGGUUGCAGGUUAUUGUUAUGUGGUGGCAGUGGUGGAACCAAAGGAACAAGGUGCGAGAAGGGGAGAAGCCCAUGGACCUCGACCAUUUCGUGUUUAGGGCUGCAUGCACGGCUGCAGAAUACCAGGGGUGUUUUUGCGAAGCACCGAAACCUAGUGGGAUUAACCCUUAGUGUUGGUCUCCGCCGCCCCUCGAUGAGCUAAAAUUCAAUGUUGACGGCGCCUACACCCCCGGCAGCCAACAUGGUGCCUGGGCCAUGAUCUCCCGUGACUCUAUGGGGAUAGUGGUAGCCGCACGAGCGGGGCGGUGGAUCACAUAG
Molecule: ribosomal RNA, 825 nt
Filed under: Triticum aestivum (bread wheat)
Lineage: Eukaryota; Viridiplantae; Streptophyta; Magnoliopsida; Poales; Poaceae
Description: partial small subunit ribosomal RNA
Source: RNAcentral